Molecule: unclassified non-coding RNA, 667 nt
Filed under: uncultured marine bacterium
Lineage: Bacteria
Description: partial contains 16S ribosomal RNA, 16S-23S ribosomal RNA intergenic spacer, and 23S ribosomal RNA
Rfam family: Bacterial large subunit ribosomal RNA (bases 555-667)
Source: RNAcentral
GGUUACACCUUAAGGCAGAGCUUAUACCUCUGACUACGGUACGAUCAGCAACUGGGGUGAAGUCGUAACAAGGUAGCCGUAGGGGAACCUGCGGCUGGAUUACCUCCUUUCUAAGGAAGACCAAAAUAUUUCUUUUGGUCUCAAAAAAUAAAGUUAAUGUGGCCGUCCUCAUUUCUCUUCUUAUUAAUUAGAGUGUCUCAUAAAUGCUUAGGGGCCGGUAGCUCAGGUGGUUAGAGCGCACCCCUGAUAAGGGUGAGGUCGGACGUUCGAGUCGUCCUCGGCCCACCAUUUUCACGGGGGAUUAGCUCAGCUGGGAGAGCGCCUGAUUUGCAUUCAGGAGGUCAGCGGUUCGAUCCCGCUAUCCUCCACCAUCGACACUUUUAGUUUUUUUAAAUUGUAAAUAAUGAAUAUCAAUUUUGAUUGUUCAAAAGUUAAGAACAAUCAAACAAUAUCUAUAUCCGAUUGUUCGAAUAGAUGAACAAUCUAAAAAUAUUCGAAUAGAUGAAUAUUUUAUUAAAAAUUUAAUUUAGACAGAAAAUUAUUUUCUGUGCAUAAAUCAAGCGUUUAAGGGCGUAUGGCGGAUGCCUAGGCACUGAAAGGCGAUGAAGGACGUGGUAUACUGCGAUAAGUUUCGGGGAGCUGUAUGCAGGCUUUGAUCCGAAAAUUU